AGUGAACGCUGGCGGUAUGCCUAACACAUGCAAGUCGAACGGCAGCACAGUAAGAUCUUGCUCUUACGGGUGGCGAGUGGCGGACGGGUGAGGAAUACAUCGGAAUCUACUUUUUCGUGGGUGAUAACGUAGGGAAACUUAUGCUAAUACCGCAUACGACCUACGGGUUAAAGCAGGGGAUCUUCGGACCUUGCGCGAUUGAAUGAGCCGAUGUCGGAUUAGCUAGUUGGCGGGGUAAAGGCCCACCAAGGCGACGAUCCGUAGCUGGUCUGAGAGGAUGAUCAGCCACACUGGAACUGAGACACGGUCCAGACUCCUACGGGAGGCAGCAGUGGGGAAUAUUGGACAAUGGGCGCAAGCCUGAUCCAGCCAUACCGCGUGGGUGAAGAAGGCCUUCGGGUUGUAAAGCCCUUUUGUUGGGAAAGAAAAGCAGCAGGUUAAUACCCCGCUGUUCUGACGGUACCCAAAGAAUAAGCACCGGCUAACUUCGUG
RNAcentral lists this ribosomal RNA (492 nucleotides) under uncultured bacterium. Its description in RNAcentral is "partial 16S ribosomal RNA". It matches the Rfam family "Bacterial small subunit ribosomal RNA", at positions 29 to 507 of the family's 1533-position model. The record is from RNAcentral.